ACUGAGUGUGCAUGGAGUUCGGGGUUUUUACUGUGAGAAAAUUAGAGUGUUCAAAGCAGGCUCGACGCCGGAAUAUAUUAGCAUGGAAUAAUAAAAUAGGACGUGCGGUUCUAUUUUGUUGGUUUUUGGAAUCGCCGUAAUGAUUAAUAGGGACAGUCG
Molecule: ribosomal RNA, 159 nt
Filed under: Climacostomum virens
Lineage: Eukaryota; Ciliophora; Heterotrichea; Heterotrichida; Climacostomidae
Description: partial Eukaryotic small subunit ribosomal RNA
Rfam family: Eukaryotic small subunit ribosomal RNA
Source: RNAcentral